Molecule: long non-coding RNA, 409 nt
Organism: Daphnia pulex (common water flea)
Lineage: Eukaryota; Metazoa; Arthropoda; Branchiopoda; Diplostraca; Daphniidae
Exons: 2
Source: RefSeq, a predicted model, not a curated record
UCGAGAUUUUUAUGAAGGAGAUGGAUUAAUUUAACUGCCUCAAUUUUAGCGCGGGCUAAGUUUAAUUAAUUCAUCGAACUGUGCUGAUUUGGAAUGAACCAUCAAAGCUUUAUCAAAAUAAUUGCUUUUAAAAUGUAACAGAAAGCGGACUGCAGGAAGUUACUCUUAUUUGAAAAAGGCGCGGUAAUCGAGUCGUCUGCUAACCGGAAUAACUGAAUCAGGAUUCAGGAUUGCUGUAUUUGUAUAAUUGUAGGAUUUCUUAUUUGCUUUUGGGAUCGAUACCAAAGAUUUCAACUUUGCCACUCUUGCAUUUUUUUUUCUUUAAUUUUUAUAUUUUACAAGCCUUUUAAGUUUCUAGUCCCUAUUUUCAGAUAUGACUGUGCAUUAUAUAACACAUAAAUCCCAGAUA